RNAcentral lists this long non-coding RNA (315 nucleotides) under Mustela putorius furo (domestic ferret). RNAcentral describes it as "lncRNA (ENSMPUG00000024344.1)". The record is from RNAcentral. Lineage: Eukaryota; Metazoa; Chordata; Mammalia; Carnivora; Mustelidae.
CAUAAACGCAAAUAUAAUCGCAAUCUGGUCUGGAUGAAAACACGCUUCUCCCUUCCUGAAAUGAAGGACUGCCUUCUCUCAGCUGUCUGUCUGUGCCUCAGAACACCCUCGAAGCUUGGGUUCAUCUGGAUCGGACCGUGUAGGGUGUAUAAGAACUUGAACACUCGUCUGAUUUCUAAAGGCUCCUCCGACUACUUGCCUUGUCCUAAAACAGUCAGCUCAGAUGCCAUUUAUUUCAGCCACUGAUGACAUGAGCUGAAAUGAGAUAAAAUACAGUUCAGGCAGCCCUUCCCGCUGAGAAUCUGCCAUUUCCCC